This 497-nucleotide ribosomal RNA is filed under the name uncultured bacterium. RNAcentral describes it as "partial 16S ribosomal RNA". It matches the Rfam family "Bacterial small subunit ribosomal RNA", at positions 28 to 507 of the family's 1533-position model. The record is from RNAcentral.
GAUGAACGCUGGCGGCGUGCCUAAUACAUGCAAGUCGAGCGAACAGACGAGGAGCUUGCUCCUCUGACGUUAGCGGCGGACGGGUGAGUAACACGUGGAUAACCUACCUAUAAGACUGGGAUAACUUCGGGAAACCGGAGCUAAUACCGGAUAACAUGUUGAACCGCAUGGUUCAACAGUGAAAGACGGUUUUGCUGUCACUUAUAGAUGGAUCCGCGUCGCAUUAGUUAGUUGGUAAGGUAACGGCUUACCAAGGCAACGAUGCGUAGCCGACCUGAGAGGGUGAUCGGCCACACUGGAACUGAGACACGGUCCAGACUCCUACGGGAGGCAGCAGUAGGGAAUCUUCCGCAAUGGGCGAAAGCCUGACGGAGCAACGCCGCGUGAGUGAAGAAGGUCUUCGGAUCGUAAAACUCUGUUAUUAGGGAAGAACAAAUGUGUAAGUAACUAUGCACGUCUUGACGGUACCUAAUCAGAAAGCCACGGCUAACUACGUG